This 253-nucleotide ribosomal RNA is filed under the name uncultured bacterium. RNAcentral describes it as "partial 16S ribosomal RNA". It matches the Rfam family "Bacterial small subunit ribosomal RNA", at positions 524 to 776 of the family's 1533-position model. The record is from RNAcentral.
UACAGAGGUGGCAAGCGUUGUUCGGAAUUACUGGGCGUAAAGGGCGCGUAGGCGGCCUUCUAAGUCAGACGUGAAAUCCCCCGGCUUAACCUGGGAACUGCGUCUGAUACUGGGAGGCUUGAGUAUGGGAGAGGGAUGUAGAAUUCCAGGUGUAGCGGUGAAAUGCGUAGAUAUCUGGAGGAAUACCGGUGGCGAAGGCGGCAUCCUGGACCAUUACUGACGCUGAGGCGCGAAAGCCAGGGGAGCGAACGGG